This 75-nucleotide ribosomal RNA is filed under the name Pseudomonas aeruginosa. Its description in RNAcentral is "partial 23S ribosomal RNA". Lineage: Bacteria; Pseudomonadati; Pseudomonadota; Gammaproteobacteria; Pseudomonadales; Pseudomonadaceae. The record is from RNAcentral.
GUGUGUAAGCGUUGUGAGGCGUUGAGCUAACCAGUACUAAUUGCCCGUGAGGCUUGACCAUAUAACACCCAAACA